Long non-coding RNA from Tigriopus californicus, 353 nucleotides. RefSeq lists it as uncharacterized. NCBI's taxonomy places the organism in Eukaryota, Metazoa, Arthropoda, Copepoda, Harpacticoida, Harpacticidae. The record is from RefSeq and is a predicted model, not a curated record. The transcript is spliced from 2 exons.
AAUGUAAAGAUCAGGAUCAGAAUCGUGGAUAAUCUUGUUCGGAAUCGUUUGAUUCUGCGUAUUUUCUUCUAGCUUGUCCGAAAGAUUCAGAUCUUUACCCUGUCUGGGCUUGAGUGUGCUCACUGAGGGUAAAUUGGCUUUCGAAGGCGAUCGAUCUGUUGUCUUUGACGGAGUUCUUUCGAGAUACUACGCGGCAGACUUGCGGAUCUCUUGGGUCUUGAGCCACUUCGACGGGCCACCGAAUUCCAACCAUACAUUUUGACACUUAAUUCACGUUUCUAGUAUUGUCACACUUUCAUUAUAGAAAAUGUUAUGUCUGGUUGCAGAGCUAAACACGAACUGAUUUUUUCCCA